This is an RNA transcript of Ficedula albicollis (Collared flycatcher), 1701 nucleotides long. It is a transcript of the gene named pyrimidinergic receptor P2Y4, with no coding region annotated. The record is from RefSeq and is a predicted model, not a curated record. The transcript has 4 exons. NCBI's taxonomy places the organism in Eukaryota, Metazoa, Chordata, Aves, Passeriformes, Muscicapidae.
ACGGCACGGCACGGCACGGCACGGCCAGCAGCCCCCCGGCAUGGCCCCGUCCCGCCUGGGGAACAGGCUGUCCCCGUGGGGGCCCCGCUCCUGAGAGCCGCCCAGGUCUGCAGGUCUGGCUGGCACGACAUGGCCACUCCGGUGAGGAUGUUCCCUGUUUCCCUGUGGACACCGACGCCGGCGCCCUGGCCGGGAGGGAACACCACGGCAGCACCCGAGGCAAAGUGUGUCUUCAACGAGGAGUUCAAGUUCAUCCUGCUGCCCGUCUCCUACAGCAUCGUCUUCGUGGUGGGGCUGCCCCUCAACUCCUGGGCCCUGUGGAUGUUCAUCUCCAGGAUGAGGCCCUGGAACGCCACCACCACCUACAUGGUGAACCUGGCCCUGUCGGACACGCUCUACGUGCUGUCCCUGCCCACCCUGGUCUACUAUUACGCCGACCGCAACAACUGGCCCUUCGGGACGGGGCUGUGCAAGAUCGUGCGCUUCCUCUUCUACGCCAACCUGUACAGCAGCAUCCUCUUCCUCACCUGCAUCAGCGUGCACCGCUACAUGGGCAUCUGCCACCCCAUCCGCUCCCUCAAGUGGGUGAAGACCAAGCAGGCCCGCAUCGUCUGCGUGGCCGCCUGGCUGGUGGUCACCGUCUGCCUCAUCCCCAACCUCAUCUUCGUCACCACCAGCUCCAAGGGCAACAUCACGCUGUGCCACGACACCACCAAGCCCGAGGAGUUCGACCACUACGUGCACUACAGCUCCUCCGUCAUGGCCCUGCUCUUCGGGGUGCCCUUCCUGGUCAUCGUGGUGUGCUACUGCCUGAUGGCCAAGCGCCUGUGCCAGCCCAGCUUCUCCAGCCCCGGCCUGCGCACGCCCUCCUACAAGAGGCGCUCCAUCAAGAUGAUCGUCGUGGUGCUCGCCGUGUUCGCCGUCUGCUUCGUGCCCUUCCACAUCACCCGCACCCUCUACUACACCUCCCGCUACUUCCAGGCCGACUGCCGCACCCUCAACAUCAUCAACUUCACCUACAAGAUCACGCGGCCGCUGGCCAGCAUCAACAGCUGCCUGGAUCCCAUCCUCUACUUCAUGGCGGGGGACAAGUACCGGGGCCGGCUGCGCCGCGGGGCCGCGCAGCGCCUGCGGCCCGUGCCCACGCUGGACCUGGCGCUGGUGCCACCCUUCACCCAUGGCAGCCACGCGGCCGGUGGCACCCGAGGGACGGCACGCAGCGGAGGAGGGUGCUGAGCGGGUCCUGCAGCCUCAGCCCCUCAGAGUGGGCGCUCCCCACACUCAAAGUGCCCAGAGCUGAGCUGUCCCUGCCCAGCCCUGCCCUGAGAGGCCGUGGGAGGAGGGCGCUGGUGCUGGGCAGGGCAGGAGAGACACUCAUGGGAAUGGGAAGGACGCUGAGGAGGCUCCUUUGGGGCAGCAGGUUGCUGUUCCAUCCCUGGCACACUUGGGGACAUGAGGGACUUACAGAGAAGGGGCACUGGUGCCUCCCUGGGCAGGCACAGCUCUUCCAUGACAUGUGGGGACCAGACUGAACCUGGGGACAGAGCUCACGCUGGGUGGGUUCAGAGGUGUCCCUGCCACACUGCUGGCCUUGGCAGAGGAGAAGUGACAUGGCCUGGGGCACUUGCUGCCCAUGACCCCCAAUAAAGCCCCUCCCCUCUCAACCCUCAGGCCUGUUUCUCCCUUCACCAUAAGGAAGAC